AACCCGCACCACAUGUACAUGUUUGGAGCUUGAAAAAAAAUGUUGCCUGCAAAAAUAGGUGUUCUUUCACGGAUUCUUGCAGUGAACUACUUCAUGUUGUUAAAUUUGGGUGAGUCAAGAGUUGCCCAAAAAGAAGAACAAAUUGCCGUUACAAUGGGAGCGACACACUGGAAGUUCAAUGGUGAAUUGUGCCAGAUUGAAGCAGUCAGAGUGACAACUGAUUGACCAAGUUGGUCCGAAACUGAUGUUAAAUGCAACUGCAGUAUAGGAAAGGAUACUCUCUGCCACGUAGUAGCUAUUACUCUUAAGGGCAUAAGUCUUCCUGGAGUUCUUCCACCUGAACUGGUAAAGGUUCCUUAGAUUCAACCAAUUGAUUUUGCAUACAAUUACCUCAGUGGUAGUAUACCAGCCGAAUGGUCGUCAACCCAGAUAAACUCUAUCUCUGUUCUUGUGAACCGGUUGUCAGGAGAAAUGCCGAAGGAACUGGGAAACAUUAUCAACCUUACCUAUAUUCAGCAGUGCACGAAUCUAUAUGUCAAUCUUUCAUCAGCAACUUCGCAGGGAACCAAUUCUCAGGCAUUAUUCUUCCUGAAGUAGGAAAACUGAUAAACUUAAAGACACUUUUCAGGCUAUUGUCCUCCAACCAACUGGAGGGAGAGCUAAGCCAACAUCACUGUCUGGACUUGUAAAUUCAAUAGAUUUUAGGAUAAGUGAUAACAAUCUCAGUGAGCCAAUUCCAGAUUUUAUACAGAAUUGGAAACAACUUGCAAAAUUAGAGCAGCAUGCCUCCCGUCUAGAGGGUCCCAUUCCAUCAGGCAUAUCUCUCCUCAAUAUACUAACCGACCUGAGGAUUAGCGACAUAAAUGGACCAAUGCAGGAAUUUCCUCCUCCAAUUAACAUGACAGGCCUAGUGAUACUAAUUAAGAGGACUAGAUCUGUAAACUGGUGUAUUUACUUUCAGACAAAUUAAAGCUACCACAAGUAACUUUGAUGCUGCAAGUAAGCUUGGUGAAGGUGGAUUUGGAUCUGUCUAAAUGGGUACACUAGCGGAUGGUACUAUAAUUGCUGUCAAGCAGCUUUCAUCCAAGUCAAGACAAGGGAACCAUGAAUUUGUAAAUGAAGUAUUAAUAGGCAUGAUGUCAGGUUUACGUCACCCAAAUUUCAUUCGACUCUACGGAUGUGUUGAACGAAACCAACUUUUACUAGUUUAUGAGUACAUGGAGAACAAUAACCUUUCCCAUGUUUUAUUUGGUAAGUAGUAUUCUUGAUGGAUUACUUAAGGUACAACUCAUAAAGGACA
This is a non-coding RNA of Nicotiana tabacum (common tobacco), 1300 nucleotides long. The record is from RefSeq and is a predicted model, not a curated record. Lineage: Eukaryota; Viridiplantae; Streptophyta; Magnoliopsida; Solanales; Solanaceae.